Molecule: ribosomal RNA, 193 nt
Filed under: Rotylenchulus reniformis
Lineage: Eukaryota; Metazoa; Nematoda; Chromadorea; Rhabditida; Hoplolaimidae
Description: partial 18S ribosomal RNA
Rfam family: Eukaryotic small subunit ribosomal RNA
Source: RNAcentral
UUGAUUACGUCCCUGCCCUUUGUAACACCGCCCGUCCCUGCCCGGGACUGGACCGUUUCAAGAAAACCGGGGAGGGGGGGCUGGGACUCUUCCGGGUCCGGGGGCCGCUGGAAACCCAAAAUAAUUGCUAUGGUUUGAACGGGGGAAAAGGGGUAACCAGGUAACUGGGGGGGAACCUGCUGAUGGAUCAUUU